AUUGAACGCUGGCGGCAUGCCUUACACAUGCAAGUCGAACGGCAGCGGGCCCUUCGGGGUGCCGGCGAGUGGCGAACGGGUGAGUAAUGCAUCGGAACGUACCCGGGAGAGGGGGAUAACCGGCCGAAAGGCUGGCUAAUACCGCAUGAACUCGGAAGAGCAAAGCGGGGGACCUUCGGGCCUCGCGCUCUCGGAGCGGCCGAUGUCCGAUUAGGCUAGUUGGUGGGGUAAAGGCCCACCAAGGCGACGAUCGGUAGCGGGUCUGAGAGGACGAUCCGCCACACUGGGACUGAGACACGGCCCAGACUCCUACGCGAGGCAGCAGUGGGGAAUCUUGGACAAUGGGCGCAAGCCUGAUCCAGCAAUGCCGCGUGGGUGAAGAAGGCCUUCGGGUUGUAAAGCCCUUUCGGCGGGGAAGAAAUCGGUCAGGCGAAUAGUCUGGCCGGAUGACGGUACCCGCAGAAGAAGCACCGGCUAACUACGUG
Molecule: ribosomal RNA, 485 nt
Filed under: uncultured bacterium
Lineage: Bacteria
Description: partial 16S ribosomal RNA
Rfam family: Bacterial small subunit ribosomal RNA
Source: RNAcentral